UACAGAGGUGCCAAGCGUUAGGCGGAAUCACUGGGCUUAAAGCGCGCGUAGGCGGAUGUUUAAGUGUCUUGUGAAAUCCCACGGCUCAACCGUGGAACUGCUGGGCAUACUGGACAUCUCGAGGCACUCAGGGGCGAGCGGAACAAGUGGUGGAGCGGUGAAAUGCGUAGAUAUCGAGAGGAACACCAGAGGGGAAGACGGGUUGCUGGGCCGACACUGACGCUGACAGCGCGAAAGCCAGGGGAGCAAACGGG
RNAcentral lists this ribosomal RNA (254 nucleotides) under uncultured bacterium. RNAcentral's name for it is "partial 16S ribosomal RNA". It matches the Rfam family "Bacterial small subunit ribosomal RNA", at positions 524 to 776 of the family's 1533-position model. The record is from RNAcentral.